CUAUCUUAAUAAGCGUUAUCUAAUAUAAUUUAGCGAUAUGGGCUAUAGUUUCUACCAAUCCCCUUAAAGGAUUGACUAUUAGAUUAAACAAUAAGUAU
Molecule: non-coding RNA, 98 nt
Filed under: Alkalibacterium sp. 20
Lineage: Bacteria; Bacillati; Bacillota; Bacilli; Lactobacillales; Carnobacteriaceae
Also listed under: 1 other name
Description: Purine riboswitch aptamer
Rfam family: Purine riboswitch aptamer
About the family: Riboswitches are metabolite binding domains within certain messenger RNAs that serve as precision sensors for their corresponding targets. Allosteric rearrangement of mRNA structure is mediated by ligand binding, and this results in modulation of gene expression. A class of riboswitches that selectively recognises guanine and becomes saturated at concentrations as low as 5 nM.
Source: Rfam by way of RNAcentral